GGAGAGGUACCGAAGUGGCCAUACCGGCGCGGACUCGAAAUCCGUUGGGGGCGUAAGCUCCACGUGGGUUCGAAUCCCACCCUCUCCGCCA
Molecule: transfer RNA, 91 nt
Filed under: Immundisolibacter cernigliae
Lineage: Bacteria; Pseudomonadati; Pseudomonadota; Gammaproteobacteria; Immundisolibacterales; Immundisolibacteraceae
Also listed under: 4 other names
Description: tRNA-Ser
Rfam family: tRNA
About the family: Transfer RNA (tRNA) molecules are approximately 80 nucleotides in length.
Source: RNAcentral